GGAAGAAAACUACGAUGAACCCUCAUAUCAGCCUGGAUUUGGAAGUAUCAGUGCGAACUUAUGAUUCUCAGUUUAUAUGGGUUCAGAGACACAGAAAAUCAUACAGGUCCAAAAGUGUCUUUACACAGGCAACACAAAUAAAACCAUGAGAAAGAGAAAAAAGAGAGAGAUAGGAUUGUGUGCAUGUGCACCCAGCUCUCCACAGACAGCACCUGGGAGCAGACAAACUCCCACAGCAGUGAACAUAUCUAAUACCCAGGUCUUGGAUUGCUGUUAUGAUUCUCUAUUAACAGUAACCUAGCUUUCUUAGAAAAUGGAUGAUUCCAGAGCUUAUAUGGGGAAGUGUUAAGAUGAGCCCAUAACAUCUUCUUGUCAGAAAGCAAAGGGGUGCUCAGAGAGUGAUGCCGAGAUGUCAAAAUCACAUUGAAGCCAGUCUGAAGAGAAUGCCGCUAGCCAGAUCGAGGAUCAUUUAAGAAUUAAAAUUAAAAUAGUAAUUAUAAGUGAGGUGCAGUGGCAUGCCCCUGUAGUCCCAGCUACUCAGGAGGCUGAAGAAGCAGGAUCAUUUGAGCCAAGGACUUCAAGACCCCCCUGGGCAACAUAGCAAGACCUGCUUCAGAAAGAAAGAAAGAAAAAUAAUGAUUAUAAAUCAACUUACUUCAUAAAAUAGGAAACAUUGAGUCUAAACAAACUUAAAUAGGUGAAUAAAUUGAAAUUUUGUAAGAAACCAUUUCAAAGCACAGAAGGAGUAAAAGAAACCUUUAAUGGAAGACUGGCAGGCAUCACCUGAAUCAGAUAGAUGGUCGAAGUAAGCUGUACCAGCUAUGGGGAAAUCUGAAUCUGCACCACCAUAAGAGGCAAAGAUGUUCAAAGAAGGUUACAGUGUUCUUUCCAUAUUAGGCUUCUCCUCAGAGAAAGAACCAAUAGGAUGGAUGGAUGACAGAUAGAUAGACAGAUAGAUAGAUAGAUAGAUAGAUAGAUAGAUAGAUAGAUAGACAGACAGCUAGAUCUCCUCUAGAAGCAUCCUCACAGAUGCACCCAGAAAUAGCUGUGCUUUGCUCAAUAACUGGGAUACAUUCUGAACACGUGUCAUUAGUUGACUUCAUCAUUGGGCAAACAUCAGAGUGUAUUCCAUGAGACCUGGGUAGUAUACAUCAAUCACUCCAUGCCAACUUUUGUUGUUGUUGUUGAGCUGGGAACUUAACCCAGGGAUUUGUCAUGCUAGGCAAGUACUACACCUCUGAACUACAUCCCUAGCCUCCAUGUGGCCUUGAUGCAAUAAAGAAAGCCAAAAUGUGAUAUAUAUGAGGCUGCUGCUGGUAUAAGAUGGCAUACUCUUUUAUAGAAAAAUUUUGGUGGGGAGGGAAUACUGGGGAUUGAGCCCAGGGGUACUCACUCUAUGACUGAGGUAUAUGCCUAACAAUAGAAGGAGUUUGUCUAAAAUAACCACUAAAAAGUAAAGUGUGGUAAGUGCAUAAUGAGCAAAUAUAGUUGUUUAUUACCACGUAUAAACUAUUCAGAACUGAAUAUGUUAUCCAUGUGGUUGAUACCAGCAUCACCUCCAACACACAAGUGAUGCUCUUCCCGACAGUGUUACAGCAGCUGCUAUGUCACCAGGAGGCAUGAAUUUCCAGCUCUCUUAUCAUUUUAUGGGACAUUACUGAUCAAAGUGUCACUCUGGUGUAUGAUCACAAUGCUUGACCGUCUCUCUAGGUCUUCCUUAAUCUAAUCAAGUACAUACCUAAAAUCAACCAUCACACAUAUCAUAGAUGCAUGACCUGAAUGUAAGCAUGAAGAAACAUCAGACAACCUCAAAUUAAAGGGCAUUUUGCAAAAGAACUGGCCUGUAACAAAUCAGGUCAUGAAAAUCAAUGGAAGAUGGAAUUCCCUCCAGAUUGAAGAAAAUGAAAAUGACAACUAAAUGCUAUGUGAUUCUGAGCCAAAUCCUUUUGCUAUAAAGCAUAUAAGUGGGAAGAUUGGCAAAACUUAAACGGGGCCUGGGGAUCAGAAGUCAGCAAUGUACCAGCGUCAAGUUUCCUGAUUCCAGUGGUGCUACUUUGGUAACGUAGGAAAGCAUGCUUGUAUAGAAAUACUCAAACAUAUUCAGAGAGUAUUUGCAGCUAAAGGCAUCGGGUCAGCAACUUACUCUCAUACCAAUAGGGAAAUAAAGUUUUCUGUCCUGCCCUGUACUUGCAACUUUUCUGGAAGUUUAUUACUGAUCCAACUUUUAAAGGUACUAAAAAUAAAAUCAGUAUCAUUAUUCAGCUUGGAGUGUUCCCACUUUUUGUUUAUAUGCUCUCUAUAUUAAGCAAGGUACACAUGGAGCUCAUGGUGCAGACUGCCCUCAGUCAGCCCUGUACCCCACCAUGCCCAGGACGCAUAGCCAUGUGACAGAGCUGCCUAGGCUGAGCAUGACCCAUCCCGAUCGGCCUCCUAAUUCUUGUUCCCAAAUGUUACAUCUUCCUGUCAACUCCAGUGAGGCUUCUGGAAAGACACAUUAAGAUGGUAGUGCCUUGGUAAUGUGUCUCACUUUUACUGUCUCAGAUCACAUGCCAUUGAACCCCAUCCUACUCUCAAACAAAAGUCAAUUAUUAGCUACACAUAGGCCAAACAAUAAAAGUCUACUCUGCUUAUUAUAACUCAGCCAUUUCUUUUUGGAUUUUACUUUUAGGCCAUCUUUUUUUCUACUCUACUCACAUUAUACACAUGGUCCUCUAGUUUCCUGAAUUCAACUUAUGUAUAAUCUUUCUUUAUAUGCAUUAUACAUUAAGACUCUGUUUUAGGCCAUAUUCUGAAUUCUUUCUCUGGCCUCCAGGCAAAAAUUCUUUUGGAGGGGGUUUUUGUGUGUUUUGGGGUACUGAUGAUUGAAACCAGGGCACUCUACCACUGAAUUACAUCCCAAGGCCUUUUUAUUUUGAGAAAACAUCUCACUGAGUUGCUGAGGUUGGCCUUGAAUUUGCCAUUCUCCUGCCUCGGCCACCCAAGUCACUAUGGUUGCAGGCAUGGCCACCAUCCCUGGCCCAGGUAAAUAUUUUGAGUCAUGAUAGGGUGAGUUGCCUGAGGCCUCCUCCUCCUGCCACCAGCACAGCCCUGUCUAUGCAGGUAGUGUUACCAAAAGAGCUAUUUUAAAAACAGAGUAGAAAAUAAGAAAAAUGGAAUGGUUGAUACUAUAAAAAAUAAAGGUUUCAUAAAAGUAAUACCACUGAUGGGAGGGGAG
RNAcentral lists this long non-coding RNA (3214 nucleotides) under Marmota monax (woodchuck). The record is from RNAcentral. Lineage: Eukaryota; Metazoa; Chordata; Mammalia; Rodentia; Sciuridae.